This is a long non-coding RNA of Myxocyprinus asiaticus (Chinese sucker), 5423 nucleotides long. RefSeq lists it as uncharacterized. The record is from RefSeq and is a predicted model, not a curated record. NCBI's taxonomy places the organism in Eukaryota, Metazoa, Chordata, Actinopteri, Cypriniformes, Catostomidae. The transcript has 2 exons.
CUAUUACUUAUGUGUUGUGGAUUUAUUUCAUAGGCUAAAUUGUUAUUGUAGGCAAAGCAAGGCAGGCACAUUUGUAAUAAACAGUGGUCAAUCAAAGUCAAAAUAUAAUGUGGUUGCUUGUAUGGUAGCAUAUGCAUAAGGUAUCAUUAACUAACAAUGAACAAUAUAUUCUUUACAGAAUUUAUUCUAAAAAUACAAUUUUCAUAGUGCAUUCAUUAAUGUAAAUAAUACAACAUAUACAACAUUUAAUUUAAAAAUUGUGUUAGUAUAUGUUGAAAUAAAGAUUAACCAAGAUUUAUAAAUGCUGUAAAAGUAUUGUUUAUUGUUACUUCAUAUUAACUAAUGUUGUUAACUAAUGUAACUUUAUUUUAAAGUGUUACCGCUUGUAUUUUAAAUUAUAAUCCAAGAGCUGUUUGAUUUUACACCACUGGAGAGCGCUAUGCAAUGAGUUGUGUUUUGUAAAAUUGUAGGCCAGUUGUAACUUUUUUUGAAUAUAAAAUGUAAUGUUAUACAGAAAAAGAUAGUUUUACAAAGAGAACUUUUAUUUUGAAACAGGACUUUAUAUUUACAUACAUUUAUCUAGUUGUUAAGCCAUCGUAGAACAAAACAAACAAACAAAUAAACACCACCACUGAUGCAUUUUGUACGGCAUUAUAUUAAUAAUCAACUGCUAGUACAAAGUCACAGAUGUGUGUAUCAACCAGCUUUUUAAAAUCAAGAAAUUAUUAGAUAUGACAAAGGCAGAACAGUACUUUACUGUGACCUGAGCUACAGGGCAACGGGAAGACCGUGACAAAAUUCCCUGAUACGAUAUCUUUAAAAUCUCUUCUAGUUAGUCACUUUCAAGAUGCUGGCAAUCAAACAUUUCAUUUGAAUCAAUUAAACAUGAAAAGAAAACAACUUAAUAAUUGAUGCAUACAUUUUUGCUCAGAUAGCAAAUAUGACAAGACAAAAAAGUUACUCGUGGGAGAUAUUGUGAAAUGAGGAUUAUGAAAACAUUUGCCAAUAAAAUAAAAAUAAAAAGAACCACAAAAAUAAUUCAGCUGUGCCAUAAAACUGCUCCGUCUUACAAUCUGUAUCUAAGGCACAGGAAGAGAUAUGGGUUAUGUUUGGAACAGCAUACUACUCUUACCAUUUCUGUAGUAUUUAGCAUGCGUACUAUGCAUAGUAUGCACAUUUUCUGCAUGCAUACCCGCAUGACCAGCUACAUUUGCUAAAAUUACAGUUUUCUUUUUUUAGAUUUACUCUUUAACCAGACUGCAAACGUAAAUAAAUUGUUUAGCAGAGAAUUCGAUCAAAAAUCUGAAAAUUUUCCCGAUGCCAUGUGAUGACAUCGAAGUAGUGUACUAAAUAGUGCUGCAUAAUGCAUACUGUUUUUACACACUAUUUUAAAAUGUAGUAUUUAGAGGUUAACCGAUAGUGGAUUUUGCCAAUACUGAUAACUAAGGUGGUGGAAAAGGCCGAUAACCGAUUAAUCGUCUGAUAGUUUUAAAAAAAUUUUUUUUAUUGAUUUAAAGAAUGUUAAAAAACUCUUAGCCUAUACUUAAUGUGAAGUGCACAGACACAGAGGCUAUAAGAGUCCAAAAUAAAUAAAAUCACAGAUGGAGUCUAUUAUGCGACCAAAAUCCCAAUAAUAACCAGAAAAAUUAAGAUUUGGUGCAUAAAGCGGGACUUUUAAUUAUAAACAAGCCUGAAACACACUAGGGACUCUUAUUUUGAAUGAGACUUUUCUCCAUUACAAUGUUCUACAAUGCUCUAGAAUAACGAGGGAAUUAAAUAAAGAAAAAUAUCAUCAACUAUCGGCACAGAUUUUGGCAGAUACUGAUAGUUAAAAAACAACAACUAUUGGUUAUCGGCCAAAAUCUGUGCCGAUAGUUGCCGAUAUUUUGCUUUAUUUUCUUUAUUCAAUUCCCCCGUUAUUCUAGAGCAUUGGUCCCUGCUCUAGAAUAACGGGGAAAUUAAAUAAAGAAAAAUAUCGGCAACUAUCGGCACAGAUAUUUGCAGAUAACAACUCUCGGUACCGAUUAAUUGGUAAAACUGAUACAUCGGUCUACCUCUAGUAGUAUGCAGUAUACAGUAUAUUUUGCUGUAGUAGUAGUAUGUUAGUGUUUCAUUCCAAACAUACAAGUAAGAAUAAGGCAGAGGACGAACUCAAAGCUUUCUGAUGGAUUCAUUUCAUUUUAAAACAGACAUAUUUAUACAUCAAACAACAAUUAAAUCAUUGAGCAUUAUCAUAAGCAUAUAAACUGAUUUGAAAAUAAUUUCUGGACAACACAAAGCUAACAAGAACGCAAGAAUUAAACGAUGCACACUAAACGUGAUUUUACUGCAUUUACUAAUUUUCAAAAAUGUCCCGGUAGUGUGUUACGACUCCGGAGUGCACAUUAAAAUGGAGAGAUAUAGAGAAAAUCUGGCAGGAUUUACAAACUAUUUGGCUUGACUUGUGUCAUUUGGCAGUAUAGAUAAUCUGCACUGUCAAUAUGUACAUUAGUAUCGCCAUUCUUGUUCCUGAGACCUGAUGUACAGUACAUCAACUGAGGACCUGAAACACCAAACAAAUGUCAAAAAUGUAGGACAGUACUUGAUUUUAUCCAUCAGGAAUUGAUUGGAUGUGGAAAGUGGUCUCUAUAUAUGACAGGUGGUUGGAUGGGAGGGUUUAAAAAAUAAGAGUGCUUGAUGACAUCAGCCGAAAAUGAAAGUUGUUUCAGAGGCGGAGUAAGUUAUUACCUUUUGCUAGCUAAUAACUAAAAAGAUAAAUAAAAAUUGAGGGAAAGCUCAACACACUCCAUUUAAGAGUUGUACAGGUCCUCCACGCUGCGGGAAUCAAAAAGGAAUGUGGUUAUUAUUACAUAAAUUUCCAUGCAAGUGUCUUAAGAUGACAAAUCAAGCUGCUACUGGGUUGCUGGUUCUCCAUAUUUACUGUUCAUUGCACUGCAUUCAACUCAUUAAUUUCACAAUACCUUCUAUAUAUUAAUAAAGUAUAAAAGAUGCAAUUUAUUAACAACAUAGUCAUAAUCUUGCGCAAUGCAUAAUACCUAAGCCGUUACAGCACUGGACCAUCACAGCAAGCAUCCGCUAUUUACAGAGUUACAACGCUCUAUCGUUUCCAGUUAAAAUCAAACAUUUUACAGUUUAAGUGCAUUAAAACCCCUUUGCAGAAAAUGUGGGCCAAGAUCUGAUAAAGUUGGCAUCGUUUGCAUAUUAAGGGGCGUUCACACGGACAGUGAGAUUUGUAGUGACAAAACGUCUUUAAGUCAUUCAUUUUCCACUACAGUAAGCAAUUUGAGCAAAAUGAGCAAUAGCGACCACUAGUGGCGAAACAAAGUUCGUCAACUAGUCGAGAAGAUACAGUACCUACCAGCAACCAACAGUACAGUGACACGGCGACCUUCAGUGAUUUAAAAUGCAUGUCAAAGCUAUUAUCGUUAGUGAAAAGUAUUGCAAAGACAACUAGCAGUGAAAAAAUAUUUUUGUUAACUUAAAAAUAAAACGGAGUUUGCGUAAGUGCGAAAACCAAACUGACACUAUAAAUGUGCACUAAGAUACGAAUGAAAACUCAAGAAAGUCUUCGAUUUUUUAGUACGAAAACAGCCAUCUGAUUAACCUGUAAAACAACCAACCACAGUUGGCUUGUUGCAUUUUCUGAUGAAAGUCUGCAAAACUAAUUUUGACAAUUUAUAAUGCUGUGUUGUUAGGGAUUAAAAUGAAAACACUGAAACGAAAUAAAAACUCAAAUAAAACUCGUCAAUUUCGAAAGAUACAAGAAAAAUAAAAACUAUUUCCGAAUAAUUAAAACUAAAACUAAACUGAAACUAAAAAUCUAAAUAAAAAAAUGAAAUAGAAAAACGAGUGAAAUUUUCUAAACUAUAAUCCUUGUCAGUGUGAACGCCCAGAGUAGUGACCAAAUGUUUUUCGGACUUUUCUUGCAUUGAAGGUAGCUAAAGAUUUGAGCAUUUUUUUUUUUUUAAGUUAAGAGUGACGAUAAUCUGUUAUUACUCGUAAUAGUUCGGGACGGAUAGCUCGUGACCCAUGGAAAACUAAAUGUUCUUGUACAUAUAUGGGUGCCUAUAUACUAGAGCUUUUGCAUUUGUUUUUAACAUAGAUAACUGCAAGUUAAGUUUCCAUGUACAAACAACGGUACUACACUGACAUACUGUAAACUAUUAGCUUCUCUGUCUGGUUUGUAAAGGAAAGUACAGUUUGAAAAUGUACCCGUUUGAAAGCAACGUUACAAACCCUCGUUGUUGAAGGCAGAUAUGUAGUUCACUAUGCAGACAUGAGGAGGCACUGCGGUUUUCAGGGAAAAUCUGUAUUUUUCGAGUGGGUUUCAGGUGUGGGCUUUCGAGAACUAUUUCAAACUUGAUUGUAAUGAAGUCUAAUUCAUAAGAUUUAUAAACAAGAAAAUGUCUAAGAAAUAGGCUUCAUAGAAGCUGUUUAUUUCAGCGUGUGCAGCAAAAAUAGACUUAGCGCCGACACUACUUGCAGUGCUAAUGCUGUAACUUGUUAAUAUGGUUCAUCAUUAUUUCUUUGCAUAAUUUAGCCCUUUUAUUGCUAGAUUUCUGUGUGUACUUCUAUAUGUAGUGUUGACUGCGGGGACUGUGUUUUGUGUUUGAAAGUUGCACUGGCAUAUGCUAACACAGUCGAGAUGUCCAGGAUGCUAAUACGUGUCCUAACCAGACAUGACGCAAUUAAGCAACAAGCGAUCGAUUCUCUCUUCCAAGUUAAUUUGAGUUUUUGUCAUAACCAGCUACAACAUAAUGCAAUAUUUUGCUGCUCGCUUGGUUGCGUUGUUCUGUGUAGCCCCGCCUACGGUGAAAUCUCAUUGGCUAAAAUCACACUCCACAUAGUACUUUUUGCUGUGGUUUUAUCGCAUUAUGCAGCAUUUCAACUGUGAUUUUUUUCACAUCAUGCAGCAUUUACGCUGAUUUUAUCGCAUCUCGCAUCGUUUACGAUUUUAUCGCGUCACGCAGCAUUUUUGCGGUGAUUUUAUUGCGUCAUACAGCAUUUCCACUUUGACUGUAUCCCAUCACGCAGCAUUUUCGCUGUGAUUUUAUCACAUCACGGAUAAUUUCUUAUGGUUUUAUUGCAUCAUGCAGCAUUUUCGCUUAGAUUUUUAUCGCAUCAUGCAUUGUUUUCGCUGUGAUUUUAUAACAUCAUGCAGCACUUCCACUGUAAUUUUAUCACGUCAGACAGCACUUCCGCUUUGAUUUUAUCGCAUCACGCAGCAUUAUAUCUGUGAUUUUAUCGCAUCUCACAUAAUUUCUGAUAAAUUAUAGCAUAGUUUCUGAUGAUUUUAUCGUGUCACGCAGCAUUAUCGCUGUGAUUUUAUCGCAUCUCGCAUAAUUUCUGAUGAUUUUAUCGCAUCACGCAGCAUUAUCGCUGUGAUUUUAUCGCAUCUCGCAUGAUUUUAUUGCAUCACAUAG